AUCUCUGGGUUGGAGUGUCCUCUCUGGGUCAGUGGACCCAAGUGUGAUCCAUCAGUGGCAGAGUCAGUCUGCCAGUGUAGUCCUGUGUUUGUUGAGGGAAGAUGCUUGUCCGCCGACCUUGUGGUUCUAGACUUGACAGAUUUUGACGUCAUUCUAGGGAUGGACUGGUUAUCUACCCAUGGUGCUACCUUGGACUGCAGGGACAAGGUAGUCAGGUUCAGAGGUCAGGAUGGGUCAGAGGUAGUCUUUAGAGGAGACAGGAGGGGUACACCUAGAGGUCUGAUAUCAGCUCUUCAGGCUCGUAGGUUGCUUAGGAGGGG
RNAcentral lists this long non-coding RNA (320 nucleotides) under Manihot esculenta (cassava). RNAcentral's name for it is "long non-coding RNA (MESC_LNC012488)". The record is from RNAcentral. Lineage: Eukaryota; Viridiplantae; Streptophyta; Magnoliopsida; Malpighiales; Euphorbiaceae.